GCCACAAGUUAGUAACGAGAUAUCAAAAUUAACACCGGCACAACAUGCGCAACGGGAACGAGAGUGAGUCCUAAAGCAAAGCACUGUUCGGCGAUCAGAACAACACUUACUAUGGGAUACCAGGACACAACCUCUACACGAAAUAAAUAUUGGGGCUGUCCGUGAUGAGCAUUGUGCCAACAUUGGCAACAACGUCCGUAGUCGUGAGGAUACACAAAGGGCAGACACAACUACUCAGGCAAGACAGAAGUCAAGUUAUGCGGACAAGGGGAAAGGGCUUCUCACCUAUGCUAAUGAAAAAGAUACUUCUUUGGUAGAGCCACUUCGAGAAAGAAAUGUUGGAGUUGAAAUCCAUAAAGAACGGAAUGUGAACAUCAUAUGUAUUCAUGAGGUACUUCCUACACUAUUUAUAUAGAGACCAUGAAAGUAACAACAAAACAU
This is a long non-coding RNA of Rhododendron vialii, 441 nucleotides long. RefSeq lists it as uncharacterized. The record is from RefSeq and is a predicted model, not a curated record. Lineage: Eukaryota; Viridiplantae; Streptophyta; Magnoliopsida; Ericales; Ericaceae. The transcript has 4 exons.